Molecule: ribosomal RNA, 429 nt
Filed under: uncultured bacterium
Lineage: Bacteria
Description: bacterial SSU rRNA
Rfam family: Bacterial small subunit ribosomal RNA
Source: RNAcentral
UCGAGGAUCUUUCGCAAUGGGCGCAAGCCUGACGAAGCGACGCUGCGUGAGCGAUGAAGGCCUUCGGGUCGUAAAGCUCUUUCGCGCAAGAACAAGGAAGGGAUGUGAAUAACAUCCCGACUUGAGGGUACUGCGUAAAGAAGCGCCGGCUAACUCCGUGCCAGCAGCUGCGGUAAUACGGAGAGCGCAAGCAUUAAUCGGAAUUAUUGGGCGUAAAGGGCGCGUAGGCGGAAAGGCAAGUUAGAUGUGAAAUUCUGAAGCUCAACUUCAGAGCUGCAUUUAAAACUACCAUUCUAGAGGGUUGACGGAGAAAACGGAAUUCCGUGUGUAGCGGUGAAAUGCGUAGAUAUAUGGAAGAACACCGGUGGCGAAAGCGGUUUUCUAGUUAACACCUGACGCUGAGGUGCGAGAGCAAGGGGAGCAAACAGG